UUCGCAAUGCCCGAAAGGGUGACGAAGCGACGCCGCGUGCGGGAAGAAGGCCUUCGGGUUGUAAACCGCUGUCGGGAGUUAAGAAAUGCAAGGGUGUUAACAGCAUCCUUGCUUGACUAAGGCUCCGGAGGAAGCCACGGCUAACUCUGUGCCAGCAGCCGCGGUAAUACAGAGGCGGCAAGCGUUGUUCGGAAUUAUUGGGCGUAAAGAGCACGUAGGCGGCCGCGUAAGUCGGUUGUGAAAGCCUUCCGCUCAACGGAAGAACGGCAUCCGAUACUGCAUGGCUUGAGUGCGGGAGGGGAGAGUGGAACUUCUGGUGGAGCGGUGAAAUGCGUAGAUAUCAGAAGGAACACCGGCGGCGAAGGCGACUCUCUGGCCCGUAACUGACGCUGAGUGUGCGAAAGCUAGGGGAGCAAACGGGAUUAGAUACCCCGGUAGUCCUAGCCGUAAACGAUGGGCACUAAGUAGAGGGGUUUU
RNAcentral lists this ribosomal RNA (477 nucleotides) under uncultured anaerobic ammonium-oxidizing bacterium. Its description in RNAcentral is "bacterial SSU rRNA". It matches the Rfam family "Bacterial small subunit ribosomal RNA", at positions 365 to 832 of the family's 1533-position model. The record is from RNAcentral.